UUCUUCUCCGCCCCUCGGCUUUUUGCUUCCGGGAGCAGUUGCCAAGGUUGCGUGACCUACGUCUUACGUCAAGACGCACCGGGAAAAAGGCGGUGAGAAAAUGCUGAGGGGAGGGGCCUCGACUCAGGAGGUGUGGUCGGGGUGCACCGCUCCCUGAGCUCCUGCAAUGACGUCGUCUAGGGCAUGUUUAAUGGAAGCUCCACGGUGGAAAAGGUAUUAAUGGCAGGUGAUCCAGAAGCUUUGUGGACCAAUGGCUUAAUUGAAGGCAGUAGCAGAAGAGUUGAGAGAGGACAGAUAUGGGAGAGGACCAGGUGACUGACUGAAUGAAAGGGGAGAAGUAUCCAGUCUGUGGCCUGGAGAUUACAAAGCCGUAAUCAGAAAUACUGGUCAACUGAUCUGUGUAUUUUGUGAUGACAAAGUACAGCAGCCACCAAGAGAAAACACAUGGCCAUAUUGAAAAGAGAGAGGAAAAGUAGAUUUUCUGAAGAGCCAGUGAAAAGGAAGUUUCAGGUCUGUUUGAACUCCCUUUGUUCACCCACAUGUAAAAUUUCAUACAAUGCACAUUGGCAGGGAAUGCUAAUACCUGUUUGAUUUGGGGGCACUUCUGAGUGAACAAUCAUGGUUAUUAAAGAGAAUCAAUAGUG
Long non-coding RNA from Phacochoerus africanus (Common warthog), 644 nucleotides. RefSeq lists it as uncharacterized. Lineage: Eukaryota; Metazoa; Chordata; Mammalia; Artiodactyla; Suidae. The transcript is spliced from 2 exons. The record is from RefSeq and is a predicted model, not a curated record.